Long non-coding RNA from Xiphophorus couchianus (Monterrey platyfish), 880 nucleotides. RefSeq lists it as uncharacterized. Lineage: Eukaryota; Metazoa; Chordata; Actinopteri; Cyprinodontiformes; Poeciliidae. The record is from RefSeq and is a predicted model, not a curated record. The transcript has 3 exons.
GGUAAACCAGUGAAAGAAAUGCUGCCAUUUUAAUAGCCUUAUUAAUCCAGUUCAGUAAUAAAUCUGUCAGUAAAAUUGUUGUUUUACUAAGGUAGGAUUGAUUGCCUUAAUUAUCUGUCAUUUAGCACUAAUACUAUAAAACUCUAUCCCUUAUAGGCUGUAAAACGUGUCAAUCAUACACAUGUUCACAGGAAGAGUUCUUAUUGGCUCUAUCAGGAAAUGCUGACUUCUGAUUGGUGAGACCGCUUAAGUCCCGCCCUGAAAAUCGGCACUUCCGGGAAGAAAUCCCAAGAAAGACGGAGCAGAGCCGAUGUUAAGCUAUGAAGAGAGAAAUGGAGAAUUUUGAAAGAUUAAAACGUUUGAGAUUUAUAUGUUACCUGUCUGAAGAACGGUGUGUGAUCCGACAGCCCCAGGUUCGGGACAACAACCAGAACAAUAAAACAUUUGGCGAAGUUUUGGCGGAUUUAUCAUUAAUGUUUCUGCUGGAGCCGGGUGUAGGGGACCAAAUUACAUCGGCGGAGUUGGAAGUAGAUGGCUGGAGAUGUGAUGGUGAAACCCCUGGGCCACGCUCCUUUGAGGGAGAAACAGGAGAUUAGACUGGAGAUGCUGACAUCUUUGCAGAUGAUUGAUUCACCCCGUCUGGCCGGAGUGGAGAGGAUGGAUCCUCCCUGGGGCGAAGGCUCCAGCGCAGUGUCACCUCACCAGAUACGGACCCUCUGCUCCUCUAACCUCCCCCAACUCUGUAUUUGUCUUCUGCAAGCUGCUGCAAUCAGUGCAGGCCUUGAUUGAACUUGGGCAGGUGAGUGGAGUACACUUUAAUCAUGACGCCAGUGCAUGCCAGAUUAUCCCCUCUGCACGGGUGUGCAACCGGAGGAGGGGG